UGAAUACGAGACGCUAAGGCGUCGAAGUAGUGUAUGUCAUACUUCCAAGAAAAGCUUGCACUGUCAUAGAUAAAAAACGCCUGUACCAUAACCGACACAGGUGGGUAGGUAGAGUAUACUAAGGGGCGCGAGAUAACUCUCUCUAAGGAACUCGGCAAAAUAACUCCGUAACUUCGGGAGAAGGAGUGCCUUAUUCGUAAGGUUGCAAUAACAAGAUCCAAGCAACUGUUUAUCAAAAACACAGGUCUCCGCUAAGUCGUAAGACGAUGUAUGGGGGCUGACGCCUGCCCAGUGCCAGAAGGUUAAAGAAGUUGGUUAGCAAUUGCGAAGCUGAUAACUGAAGCCCUGGUGAACGGCGGCCGUAACGAUAACGGUCCUAAGGUAGCGAAAUUCCUUGUCGGGUAAGUCCCGACCCGCACGAAAGGCGUAAUGAUUUGGAUACUGUCUCGGAGAGGGGCUCGGUGAAAUAGACUUGUCUGUGAAGAUGCGGACUACCUGCACCAGGACAGAAAGACCCUAUGAAGCUUUACUGUAACUUGAAAUUGAAAUUGGACUUUAUUCGCGCAGUAUAGGUGGGAGGCGUUGAUUAUAAUCUUGUGGGAUUAUUGGAGCCAUCAGUGAGAUACCACUCUUGUAAUGUUAGAUUUCUAACUUUGAAUCAUUAUCUGGUCAAAGAACAGUUUCAGGCGGGCAGUUUGACUGGGGCGGUCGCCUCCUAAACGGUAACGGAGGCGUACAAAGGUUUCCUCUGAACGGUUAGAAAUCGUAUCUAGAGUGUAAAGGCAUAAGGAAGCUUGACUGUGAGACCUACAAGUCGAGCAGGGACGAAAGUCGGUCUUAGUGAUCUGACGGUACUGAGUGGAAAGGCCGUCACUCAACGGAUAAAAGUUACUCUAAGGAUAACAGGCUGAUCUCCCCCAAGAGUUCACAUCGACGGGGAGGUUUGGCACCUCGAUGUCGGCUCAUCGCAUCCUGGGGCGGUAGUACGUCCCAAGGGUUGGGCUGUUCGCCCAUGAAAGCGGUACGCGAGCUGGGUUCAGAACGUCGUGAGACAGUUCGGUCCAUAUCCGGUGUAGGCGUUAGAAUAUUGAGAGGAGCCUUCUUUAGUACGAGAGGACCGAGAAGGACAUACCUCUGGUGUACCAGUUAUCGUGCCAACGGUAAACGCUGGGUAGCUAUGUAUGGAGUGGAUAACCGCUGAAAGCAUCUAAGUGGGAAGCCCACCUCAAGAUAAGUAUUCCC
This 1242-nucleotide ribosomal RNA is filed under the name metagenome. RNAcentral's name for it is "bacterial LSU rRNA". It matches the Rfam family "Bacterial large subunit ribosomal RNA", at positions 1564 to 2815 of the family's 2925-position model. The record is from RNAcentral.